GGUGGCUCAGUGGUAGAGUGCUUGCCUAGCAAGCAUGAGGCCCUGGGUUCGAUUCCUCAGUACCA
Non-coding RNA from Dipodomys ordii (Ord's kangaroo rat), 65 nucleotides. Lineage: Eukaryota; Metazoa; Chordata; Mammalia; Rodentia; Heteromyidae. The record is from Rfam.